RNAcentral lists this ribosomal RNA (400 nucleotides) under uncultured bacterium. RNAcentral describes it as "bacterial SSU rRNA". It matches the Rfam family "Bacterial small subunit ribosomal RNA", at positions 355 to 746 of the family's 1533-position model. The record is from RNAcentral.
UGAGGAAUCUUGCGCAAUGGGGGAAACCCUGACGCAGCAACGCCGCGUGAGUGAGGAAGGCCUUCGGGUCGUAAAGCUCUGUCGGGUGGAAAGAAACGCAUAGGUGCUAAUAUCAUCUAUGCUUGACGGUACCACCAAAGGAAGCACCGGCUAACUCCGUGCCAGCAGCCGCGGUAAUACGGGGGGUGCAAGCGUUGUUCGGAAUCAUUGGGCGUAAAGAGCGUGUAGGCGGCCGGAUAAGUCAGAUGUGAAAUCCCUGGGCUCAACCCAGGAAGUGCAUUUGAAACUGUUCGGCUAGAGUAGGGGAGAGGGAAGUGGAAUUCCUGGUGUAGAGGUGAAAUUCGUAGAUAUCAGGAGGAACACCGGUGGCGAAGGCGACUUCCUGGCCCUAUACUGACGC